CAGCAGCCGCGGUAAUACAGAGGGUGCGAGCGUUAAUAGGAUUUACUGGGCGUAAAGCGUGCGUAGGCGGCUUCUUAAGUCGGAUGUGAAAUCCCUGAGCUUAACUUAGGAAUUGCAUUCGAUACUGGGAAGCUAGAGUAUGGGAGAGGAUGGUAGAAUUCCAGGUGUAGCGGUGAAAUGCGUAGAGAUCGGGAGGAACAUCAGUGGCGAAGGCGGCCAUCUGGGACAACACUGACGCUGAGGCACGAAAGCGUGGGGAGCAAACAGGAUUAGAUACCCCAGUAGUCCCUGUCUCUUAUAA
RNAcentral lists this ribosomal RNA (301 nucleotides) under uncultured bacterium. RNAcentral describes it as "partial 16S ribosomal RNA". It matches the Rfam family "Bacterial small subunit ribosomal RNA", at positions 509 to 809 of the family's 1533-position model. The record is from RNAcentral.